UAAAUAAAUAAAUCCCGAUCAGGUUCCCCUAACCGAACCGUAUUUCAACUUACAGCAAGUCCAUUUAAUAAAAGCUCAAUAAGUAAAAUUAAAAUUUCUUGCUGUUGAUGAGUGGUUAGUACGAAGUAGCAAAAAAUUUCACCGUAACACUCUAGUUUACGAUUACUAGCAAUUCCUCCUUUAUGUAACCGAAUUUCAGAUUACAAUUCAUAAAUGAAACUAUGUCAUAAUCUUAAUAUUUAAUAAAUAUACGAAGUAUAUAUAUAUGUUAACGAAAGUUAAUAAAAUUGUUAUUAAUAUUGUAACACGUCGAUAGCCCAUCUCAUUAGGGUCAUCAUGAUUAGUCUUCUACCUCUACUUCCUAUAAUUUUACAAUUAUACUUAUCUAAAAAGAAAAGGGUUACGUUCAUUCAAUAACUUAAUAUUAAACCUCACGGCAUGAACUGACGACAACGAUGUAACGCCUGUUAAUAAUUCAAGAGAUGGUAAGGUUCUUGGAGGAUCAUCCAAUUAAAUGACAUGUUCCACUGCUUGGGACUACAACCGUCUAAUGUCUUGUAUUUCACCCUUGCGAGCGUACUAGUCAGGCGGAGUACUAUUCAUUUUCAUUUUUCAUUUAUUGUACUCAUAGUUUACUGCUACGACUAAAUGGGUAUCGAAUCCAUGUCGCUACCGUAGCCUUCAUCUCACAACGUCAAUAAUUUUAAGUAAUCUCUUUAUAGUCUUAAUGUUUUCGUCGUAUUUUAUCCCUCUAACUUUAAUUCUUAUUACCUUUCCUCUCUCGAGUCAUUAUUCUAUAUCUCUCCUUUAAGAUACGUUCUACAGAUCCUUUAAGCCAUUCUGAUCAAUGCUUGCCCUCUAUGUCUAAUCAGGAUAGGUAGGCCCUCACAAGCUUUCCCCCCUUAAGAACCGUACGUGCGACUUUCAUCGCAUACGGCUCAAGCAUUAUUUUUAACACCCUUUUCUUAAGUCAGCACCCUUUCAGGCUCGUUAUUUAACUUAUCUAUAACAUUACAUUAUAGCUUUCGCUUUUUAAGAAGUCUUCUACCUCCUAUUCGUUAUUAUUUUUUCCAUAAAAUUUAUUUUAUAAAUAACCUCUAUUUUUCAAUAGUGAAUAUGAGGCUUACCAAGUUCCAUUUUUUACACUUUAUUUACCUUAGGUUCUACUCUUUACCCCUAUCAGUUUUAACGUCUAUAACAGAAUAGAUAUACGAUGAUUCUAUUCAGACUCCUGAUUAUAUAUUCCCCGUUUUUUGAGGUUUAUCUUAAAUUUAAGAUAUUAUCACUAGAUAUAUUUUGCCUAAAGAGGUCUCAUCAAGUAGUUUACGUUAGUUAACCAUAGUAAAUUUACCUAGCUUUAAAUAUAUAUGUGAUUUAUAUAUAUUUAAUUACAUUGUUUCUAUAGCUUCAUACCUUAGAAUCACUUCCAACGCAUGUAUAGAUAGGUACAUAUUUGUUACGAAUAAUGUCGAAUUUAUAUUUCGAAUUAUAAAAAAUAGCUUACUUGUCGCACACCGCAGCUGCUGGCACAUAUUUUAGUUAGGACUCUUUCAUAAUUAGUAUCAUUAUUACUAUUAUUUAGAAGUUUAUAGUUAAUCUUUUAUUAUUUAUUUUUUUAUAUUUAGCUUAGCUAAGUAUAAAUAUUUAAUAUCCUUCUCGUAGAUAACUUGAUCAGUCGUUAGACCAUUGUCAAAGAUUCCCCACUGCUGCUCUAUAUAAGAGUUGAUAAUUUUAUCAAUGUGGCCGUUGUGACGCUUAUCGCCGGCUCCAGUUCCAUGGCUAGAUUUUUAUCUAUUACCUACAUCUGAAUAAGAUAUUUUCUUUAUCUUAUAUCACUCACCUUAACGCUAUUCCCCUUAUGGGUAUAACUCGCAUGUGUUAUGUCUCUACAUAGCAUUUGAUCUGAACCAACAUCAUGUUCUCUCUUUU
Molecule: ribosomal RNA, 1929 nt
Filed under: Metschnikowia amazonensis
Lineage: Eukaryota; Fungi; Ascomycota; Pichiomycetes; Serinales; Metschnikowiaceae
Description: small subunit ribosomal RNA
Source: RNAcentral